Molecule: small RNA, 24 nt
Filed under: Arabidopsis thaliana (thale cress)
Lineage: Eukaryota; Viridiplantae; Streptophyta; Magnoliopsida; Brassicales; Brassicaceae
Description: Ath_wt_02623
Source: RNAcentral
UCCCACUGUCCCUGUCUACUAUCC